UACGAAGGGGGCUAGCGUUGCUCGGAAUCACUGGGCGUAAAGCGCACGUAGGCGGAUUGUUAAGUCAGGGGUGAAAUCCUGGAGCUCAACUCCAGAACUGCCUUUGAUACUGGGGAUCUCGAGUCCGGGAGAGGUGAGUGGAACUGCGAGUGUAGAGGUGAAAUUCGUAGAUAUUCGCAAGAACACCAGUGGAGAAGGCGGCUCACUGGCCCGGUACUGACGCUGAGGUGCGAAAGCGUGGGGAGCAAACAGG
Molecule: ribosomal RNA, 253 nt
Filed under: uncultured bacterium
Lineage: Bacteria
Description: partial 16S ribosomal RNA
Rfam family: Bacterial small subunit ribosomal RNA
Source: RNAcentral